Molecule: transfer RNA, 65 nt
Filed under: Anoplotermes sp. E1 TB-2017
Lineage: Eukaryota; Metazoa; Arthropoda; Insecta; Blattodea; Termitidae
Description: tRNA-Thr
Rfam family: tRNA
About the family: Transfer RNA (tRNA) molecules are approximately 80 nucleotides in length. Their secondary structure includes four short double-helical elements and three loops (D, anti-codon, and T loops).
Source: RNAcentral
GUUUUAAUAAUUUAACAAAAAUAUUGGUCUUGUAAACCAGAAAUAAGGAUGAACCUUUUAAAACU